AUAAAGUAGCAAAUUAUCGUUCCUGAAUAGGUGGCGCCGUGGUAGCCGAUCCUGUUCUUCAACUUCCGGUUUCUGCAUUGAGCAACUAUUACAGUUGCAUUUUUAAUUAACGAUGCCAAGUACUUGUUGUUGUGUACCUGGAUGUCAUUUAAGAGGAGGACAUGCAUUUCCAAAUGACUUAAAAAGAAGGAAAAGUUGGAUCAACGACAUGGCCCAUACGCAGAUUGGACGAGAACACGAUGAAAUCGUGGAGUCCAUCUCAAUCAGCUGUUGUUUGCAAGGCACAUUUUACUGAAAAAGACUACGUGCAGGAAACUAUUCAUGGGCGCAAACCCACCAUACAGAGACUUAAGUCUACUGCCAUUCCCAGCCUAUUUUCCUGGACCAAGCAAGAGACUGAAUCGUCCUCAAAAAGAAAAAUCAGGGCAGUUUCCUGUGAAAACAAAAGAACUAAACUUGAUGAAUAUUGUAGUAGAAAUCUAGAGGAAAGUUUUGAUUGUAAAGUUGGUUUUCCUGAAGAAGUCAUUCAUACUGCAGACAGGAUUUAUGACUGUCCACCACCAACUGCCGAGCUAAUGUUGAGCUUCACAGAUGGAAUUACGCAAACACAAUCAAUGCAUAUAUUUUCAGCAGAGAAUUUUGAAAUGAAGACAAGUGACACAGCCAUGCAUUUUUAUACCGGUUUAGAGUUGUAUACUAAAUUUUUAUUUGUUUUGACCACACUUGGUCCAGCAGCACAUUGUUUGAGAUACAUAUAUUUUCAAAUUGAUAGGGUGUCAUUUGGAAAUCAAUUUUUUUAUGACUUUGAUGAAAUUGAGGCAUUAUACAACCAACUUUGAACUGUCUAGAUUCUAGAUUGAAACUAGUGUUAAAAAUAUUGUGUAAACAUGGAUUGUUUUUAUGUCUAAACAGUGGCGUGAGGCUAACACUUGGCCAUUUAGUGGUUUAGUCAGGUAUUUUUUGCCAUCCAACUUCAAAUUAAAGUUUCCUACAACUUGGAUUAUUAUUGACAGCACAGAAUAUCCCGUGAUAAAACCUAAAGCCUCCUAGAGCUCAGGCAACCUUUUCAUCAUAUAAAAACAGAAACACUAAAAAUACUUGUAUGUUUUCGACACCUGGUGGUUUAGUCAACUGUGUCUCUAAUGCAUAUGUUGGUUGUACCAGUGACUGUGAAAUAGUUGAAAGAUGUAGAAUAGUUCAAUUAUGUGAUCCAGGUGACAGUGUGAUGGCAGACAAAGGUUUAAAUGUGCAAGAUUUGUUUCCUCACUUUUUUUCAAAAAAAGAAACAGAAUUAGUUCCAAAACUCUUAGCCCCAAAAAAAAAAUAUGUCUGUUUAAGGUUACAUACUUUAAAAAUAUUGGGUAGGUAGGUCGGUAUUUUCAUUUUAUUUUAUUUUUUCAUUUUAUUUUUUGUGACAUGAUUUUGAGUCAUGCCGUUUCGACUUGUCGUGGUCUGAGUUGAUCAUGGGCCGAGUUUACCCGUAUUUUUGAUGAUUGGAUUAUUUCCCUUGGAAAAAAAUGGUGGCAAAGUGUUUAUUUCAUCACACGAGUUGCGAAUUUCCUUAAAACCGCUGUCAUAUUCACGAUUGUGAACAUUGGGAUGUAUCAGGCAAUUGAUUUAUAUCAUUUGCAACACUAACUAUGCAAGUUCAGUUUAUUUUUCACUUUACAAAGGAAAUAAAAUGACUUAGGGUCGGCGCUCAAAAGUAGGGUAGGUCGGGUAACCGUAAACAGACAUAUUUUUUUUUUUGCCUUAUACGGGAUAGAAAAGUCUCCAAUUAACACGUGCACAUAGACAUGAUAGAGCUAAGUAUUGGACUUGGCAAAACAUACAAAAUUCUAAUAAAUCCUAUGAAUGGAAUUGAAACAAAACUUUCAUCUGAAAUAACAUUUAGUUGUUUUAUGUUGUGUAAUUUUAGAACUUGUAUUGUGCCAAAGGAUGCAUAAAUAAAAGUGACGCAAUGAA
Long non-coding RNA from Mytilus californianus (California mussel), 1965 nucleotides. RefSeq lists it as uncharacterized. Lineage: Eukaryota; Metazoa; Mollusca; Bivalvia; Mytilida; Mytilidae. The record is from RefSeq and is a predicted model, not a curated record. The transcript has 2 exons.